CCCCCGACGCGCCGUAGCCGCGGGCCCCGGCUGGGCGCCACGCUACGGAGGAGGCGUAAGGCGUACCGGGUGGGCCGGGCGGGACGGCGGGCGCUACGGAGGCGGCGUAAGGUUGCCGGGCCGAGACUAGAGCUUCGGGGCCGAAACGCGCUAAGCCGACGGAGCAUCGCGGCUGGCGCGAAGGGGGCCUAAGUGCCCUCCGGUUGAAGUUGUGGGUCAACCGAUUGAGGGCCGGCAUCAAGGCCGCGCCCGCCUAGCCCGACCGCGAGCGCUGAGAAGGCGCCGCCGGCUCGCUAAGGACUUUGCUCAUGCAGAUAAUCCCAAAGGCUGCAUUUGGCAUUCUUGGGCCAAAGUCCAAACCCUGAUAGGAGGAGCGUGCUGUCUUGGUGAGUGCUGCAGUGGACACACUGACAUUUUGUCAUCUGCGUGGCCCCAGGUGAGCUAUCAAGCACUGUGGCUUGGUUGAUGGAGCCCCAGAGGUGAGAGGGAGUGAAGAGCCCCUUUCUCCGGGCCGGUGCUCUCUGGUGACCAGCCCUCCGCCCUGCCAGCUGGGUUCUCUGGCUUUACAGAAACUGUUUUGGGGGAAGCUGUUGCUAGUGGGGUUUAAUUCUGUCUUUUGGGCCUCAUACCCUCUUGGAUGUACCAUCUGAGAUGUCUGCCUAUGGCCUGCCCGUGACCCCCACCUGGAAUUCUUGUGCUGUGAUAUCUUGGCCAAAAAGAGGCUCAAAGAGCGGAGGGUGGUCCAUUUCUGUGGAGGCACUCUGCCUAUUUUCAGGGAAUGCUGUUCAGCCAGUUCUCACAUGGUUGAGUCCUCCCCUGGGGUAGAUCCCAGCCUAGUUUCUUGAGGAGGAUUCACUUCCUGUCCCCAGGCCAUUUCCUCUGGAGCUGGCCUUGAUGUCAGCUGUGUUGCCUGAGUUGCGGCCCAGCAGUGGUUUGUUCUUGGUUUCACAGCUGGACUGCCUGCCUCCUGCCCUGGUAGGUACAAUGCUAAGGUAUGGUGGAUCCUAUUGGUACCAGGUGCGGCUAGCACUCAUGUUCUGUCUUGCCAUCCACUGUCUCAAGAGACGAGUGAUAUUGGGGUUACUGCAGUUAGAAUGGGAGAAGAUGGCCCUUCGUAAAAUUACCAAGAGGAGGAGCUUGUGUGGUAGGUCUUCUAAUCAGUUGGUGUGAGAAACCGCAUUCUGUUCUUAUUUUACUGAGGUUGGGUACUGUGCUCAGGGCACUCCUAAAUGGGGAGACAGGGAGACAUUGUACUUCCUAUACCAAGAACCCUUGAAACACAAGGUCUCCCUAGCCUUGACUUAGUGAUAUCCCCAGAUUGUCCUUCUGAGAAUGAGGUAUCCCACAAGUCUUGGGGAGCUCUGGGCAGGAAAUACUGACUUGGCUGUUUUAGUGUGGGGCAAAAAGACAGACUCUACUAAGGGACCCUCACGGUAGGUUUUGCAGCCCUUAGGUCUCAUGGCUUAUGAAAGCCAUGAUGGUCCCCACCCAACCUCCAACCCUGAGCACCCGUGAGGAAGAACUGUGGGCCUGGCCUACCUGGGAUGUACUAAGUAUCUCACCUCCAGACUACUGUCAUGACCAACACCUUUUCUCAGCUGAAGGCGGAGCUGGGGACAACAGAAAGAAGCUGUUGAUGUUAUCACUAGGACUCCUGACAGCGAGUAUCGCUUUGUGGUUCUAUGCAGAAUCCAUGGAGGCAUCCUCCUGUCUUCUCAUGCUUGUCCUGGGUGGACAUUCUCCAGCUGCCCUCAGCAUGUGCAGAGAACAUCUCACACCAAGGCUGGGGACAUGCUAAUCCACCUUGAUAAUUAACACUUUGGCUUUCAGAACAGUGGCAGCCCCACUUCCUUGCUUCCUUGAAGCCUCAUCUAGGCCACUGUCCCAUUUAAAAGUAGAACAGUUCCCAAAUGCAAAUAAGGGAGGAACUGACUGAUUUGUUUUGGAGUGGGAAAGGCAUAAGCCCUAGGACUGAUAAGAUGGGUGAACCUAUCUCUCAAAUCUUGUGGUCCUUAGUACCCCCUGCCCCUUCUGCCUCUUGUUGGAGACUGCUGUGGUUACACUUAAGUCAUGUAGCAGUGAGACAGCGUCUGGGGUAGGAUCUCUGAGAAUCACUAUUUGCUGUGUCCAGCCUCCUAAGACAGCCUGACCUGCAGCAGGGGUCAAAGGGUGUUUGCUAAGCACACAAGCUGGAGUAAAAGGAGGUGCAAGUGAAGUGCUUUCAGGAGGAGGGAGGGGCUUUGUCCACCAGCAAGCCCUGUCAGAGAAGACAGCCCUUGGGGUGGCUCAGGCCUGCCACCCAGAUUGGGGGACAUACUCUCUUCUCCUUCCUGUUCUCUUUGGAGUACAGCCUAGGCAACCAGAAUGUGAACAAAAACUGGAUCCACCUGUGUUGGCAUUCUUGCGCAUCCCUGCCUGUCACCACAUGCUAAUUAUAUUGGUAUGCUCUGGCCUAGAUGGGAGAGACCUGGGAGGGGCCAGCCUCCUUCACUCAAAGGAGGUCCCAGUGUCCUUGGCAAAGUGGCCUGGGUGUGAUAAUUGCUUCCGUAGAGGGUUGGCCAAGCCAGAGAAACAGCCAACACUCUCUAGCUAGGGCUGCUACUGGAUUCCCCUUCUACCCUUUCAGAGGUCCCUGAGUGCAGUUGUCAGAACCCAGAAGGAAGUCAUGUAGAACCUUUUUUCUAUACAGCUGUCUACCAUACAUGUGGAGUUAACAACCACAGAAGGUGCUGGAGCCUAUAGUUGUGCCAAAAAAGCCUGCAGAAGGAAGGUGGGUUUCAAGAAGCACAUGUGUACAGUUGGGUGUGGUGACACAUGCUUAUAAUCCUAUACUUGGAAGACAGUGGCAGGAGGAUCAGGAGUGGAAGAAUAUCCUUGGUUACAUAGUGUUUUAGGCUAGCUUGGGAUACAUGAGAAAUACUGAUGCCAGCCUCUUGAGGUAACAGGGCCCCCUAGGCCAACAAAGACCUAAUAGCCAACUGCUCUCUGGUGUGUGUGUUGGGGGGUAAGGGUGUACUAAGACUGCUAGCAUCUUUUAGGUGGCCUUUAGUCAAGACAGAGGCUCUUCAGCACACCAAGGGACUCUCUCCAUCCUAACAUUGGAUAUGGUUGGGACUUUAUAGCAUGGAGAACUGAGAGCAUUGCUCUUCCUGCCUACCUUUCUUCUUUGCUCUGCAUACUUAGCAAAAAAAGAAUGUGCUGUCCCUACCCUUUCAAGAGAUUCUAUGCUCAAGGCAUCCCCAGUGAGCAAGCACAAAGGCAGGAGGAGGAUAGUCCCUGGACAGGAUGAUGAGAGGGAUAGGUGGGGAUUAUAGGAGCUAUGGGUCAAGCAGCACUCAAGUUCAUGCAGAACUCUAAUAUCUUCUGGAGAAGCAGGUAAUCCAUCCUCCUGGAGGCAGCCCAUGAGUAUAGUGCAUGCUUUCACAGUGAAUGUAGCAAAGCCCAGUGUUGGCAGUAGAUCACCUCAGGACCCUAUUGUAAGCAGUUUCUGUGUCAUGGGCAUCUCCGCUGAGCCCAGUUCCCAACACUCUUCCCUCCCUCUUACCUGCUCGGGGUUUGAAUGUGAGAGAGGAGCAUCAGAAAUGUUGGGGUGCAUUUCUCACAGGAGUCUCCUGUAUUGCUAGGGCUUGUCAGUUUGGGGGAUUGUUCUGGCGCUGACAAUCACAGGAGAGGCAGGUGCACAGGGUGACCAUUAUAAUGUGGGUCUGGUGGACAGAGUGUGUGUUUCUGGGCGCCUGAACAGAAUCCUGUCACCAACACCAACGGUUCACUAACACCCAUACAGAGCAACCAGCACGUGUGGCUACUGAGUCCCAUGAAGUGACAUGUCUUUGUUGAGCUAGAAAACAGUCUAAAGAUCUUGAUCAGGGCCAAGUGCCAUGGUCAUGCCUGUAAUUGUAGUACUCAAAAAGCUGAGGCAGGAGAAUUGGGAGUUUGCUCCCAGUUUAGGCAAUGUAGCAAUGUAGGCAAUGUAAAACCCUAUGUGAAAACAAUCAAAGGCCAUAAGAGUGGGCGAUUAGCUAAGGUUACUUAGUAACACCAUGAAUGGGCUAGGGAGUCAGGAGAGGCACCU
Myodes glareolus (Bank vole) is the source of this 4072-nucleotide non-coding RNA. NCBI's taxonomy places the organism in Eukaryota, Metazoa, Chordata, Mammalia, Rodentia, Cricetidae. The record is from RefSeq and is a predicted model, not a curated record.